GGACUUUGCCGCAUUAGUGAGCUGACUUCAGACUGGUUGGCCAAGGCAGAAGAUGCUGUUAAAGUUGGCGAUCGUGUUGAUGUUAAACUUAUCGAGGUUAAUGAUAAGGGAAAACUACGCCUCAGCCGACGUGCACUUCUUCCCGUUCCUGAAACAAGUCCAGAAGAUCCCAGUUCAAAGCAGCUUACCGGCAACAAAGCUGAAGUUGUUGUUGCUGAUUCU
Molecule: long non-coding RNA, 222 nt
Organism: Hibiscus syriacus
Lineage: Eukaryota; Viridiplantae; Streptophyta; Magnoliopsida; Malvales; Malvaceae
Exons: 3
Source: RefSeq, a predicted model, not a curated record